GAUGAACGCUGGCGGCGUGCCUAAUACAUGCAAGUCGAGCGAACGGACGAGAAGCUUGCUUCUCUGAUGUUAGCGGCGGACGGGUGAGUAACACGUGGAUAACCUACCUACAAGACUGGGAUAACUUCGGGAAACCGGAGCUAAUACCGGAUAAUAUUUUGAACCGCAUGGUUCAAAAGUGAAAGACGGUCUUGCUGUCACUUAUAGAUGGAUCCGCGCUGCAUUAGCUAGUUGGUAAGGUAACGGCUUACCAAGGCAACGAUGCAUAGCCGACCUGAGAGGGUGAUCGGCCACACUGGAACUGAGACACGGUCCAGACUCCUACGGGAGGCAGCAGUAGGGAAUCUUCCGCAAUGGGCGAAAGCCUGACGGAGCAACGCCGCGUGAGUGAUGAAGGUCUUCGGAUCGUAAAACUCCGUUAUUAGGGAAGAACAUAUGUGUAAGUAACUGUGCACAUCUUGACGGUACCUAAUCAGAAAGCCACGGCUAACUACGUG
Molecule: ribosomal RNA, 497 nt
Filed under: uncultured bacterium
Lineage: Bacteria
Description: partial 16S ribosomal RNA
Rfam family: Bacterial small subunit ribosomal RNA
Source: RNAcentral